AUUUCAGUAGCCGCUUCAGGUUCUCCCCAUCUCAAUCUUCUCAAAUCAUACUCAUUUUCUACAUUUAAUUCUUUUAGUAUGAAAUAAUGAUUUGUUUUUUGUAACUAAUUCAAUGGGAAGGAUGUCUCACAGGAAAUUCGAACACCCAAGGCACGGUUCUCUUGGAUUUCUCCCAAGGAAGCGUGCUGCUCGUCACAGAGGAAAAGGUUGUCAUGCAAGUAGUGUUUUUUGCUAAAAUAAUGUGAUAAC
Lupinus albus (white lupine) is the source of this 249-nucleotide non-coding RNA. NCBI's taxonomy places the organism in Eukaryota, Viridiplantae, Streptophyta, Magnoliopsida, Fabales, Fabaceae. The record is from the annotation of a GenBank genome assembly.